UAAAUCUUUAAAUAAGAAGAUAGUUGGAUUUUGAUAUCUGUAUAUCCAUCCAGUCUGUUGUGAUAAUACGUCACGUAGCCUCUGGAAAAAGUACACUUAUGGAAAGAGAGUGAAAAAGACUAGUGACACCUUACUAUUGUUAGGAAGAUAGUUUGGGCCUCAUAGGUACCCAAAAAGGCUCUCAGAGAACCCUAGGGGUCCCACACUUUGAGAACUGCUGAGCCCGUGCAUGGUAAAGGUUUUGGAUAGCCCAUUUGAUUCUGAAAUCUCCGUUCUUUUUUAUUUCAUCACAACUUGCUCCUCACUGAGGGCAAACAGAUGAUGGAUGGUUUCUGAAUGGGAUAAUGAGACUGAGUAGCUCCGUGAAAGCCUUUAUUUCCAGGGAAGGGAGAUGUCCUUUUGUGCAAACAUCAAAGAUCAAUAGCUUUUUAAAAGCAAAUGUUGACAGUGUCUUCCUUCCUCUCUUUCCUGCCCCCCCUUUCCUGUCCUUCCACUCUUCUCUCUUCCCUUCCUCCUUUCAUUCUGGCAAAAUAACAUUGACAUUAAAAACUGCUUUGUUUUUAACGUGGGAGGAAAACCCCUGUCUCAGGUUCAGAUGGUUCUGCACAUGUUUCAGUUCCUAGAACUGACAGCCCUGGCCUCCCACCUUGGCCAGAUGGAGUGUCUGUCCUACUGGGGGCAGGGAAAGGGCCACAGAGUGCUAGUUCAGGGUCACCCAGUCAACUAAUAGCUGGCCCCCAGGCAUUCUGCUCCUAAUUACUCUGUUUUUUUUUUUUUUUUGGUAGGGGUUUCACCUUGUUUUAGCAGACUACUGUUAUUUGUAUGUCAGCUUGUUGUGUUUUCCUAGAGAAACAUCCCUCAAAGCUCUCAUUCCUUGAAGAAGGCAGGAGUGGAGACCUCUCAGGCAGAGCACUGGCCACUCAGAGCUGUCAUCUAUACUCAUCUCAGAUUCCAUGUACUCGGAGAAGCUAUCCAAUCCAACCCAAUCCAACACAGUCCCUGCAGCCAGUCUCCUUUGAAAUCCGACUCUGAUGGAAUGUUUGCUGCCAUUGCUAAUGAAAUUCAGAGAAGGACCAUUGGUUUUUAACUCCGCUUGGGAAUUUUGAUGCAAUAGAUGUUUGCACAUUGCUGUCAGAACAAGAAACCUUAUAAUCACGGCGUUAUUUUACAAGAGUCAAUGGACUACAAAGAAGAAUUAUGUUCAGACCCGUCAUUCACUUAAAGGAAGAGGAUGGUUGCAAGUCAGCAACAGUAACAGAAAUUAAAUCGGUGGCUGGAAUAUGCUUUCCCAGUGAGAUGAAGCAAACAUCUUACUGAGCCAUGGACUCUUACCUUACAGCAAAACAGUUGCCUGUUCUUUUCAUUCCUCAUUAUCGCAAAACCCUCAUAUAGACUAACCCCAUUUAUCUAAAUUAUGAUUAUGUUUUCAAAGGCUUGUAGGAACUAGUUGCAAUCCAUGCAAACUCAUCAUCUUACAAAUAUUAACUGGUCCAUCGGUCACUGAAAAGGGCAAGAAGAUCAGAGGUGGGGAUAGCACUGUAUGUAGAUGGCCAAAUCAUGGUAGUAAUCGGGGCAGACGGUUCCCUUAGCUUCCAGGUGACUUGCUGGUGUAAAUGUCUAUGUUGUCAGCAGGACCGACAGUUGAAAAAUAUGAAAGAAACCACACACUGGAGCCAGUGUUUUUCUUGGAACUACUAUUUAAAGAUGCACCAACCUGGAAGCCCAACAUAGUCCCAAGUAGACUAACAUGUGGCUUACAAAGAAUUUUCAAACGAGGAACUCUCAUCCCCCAGAAGAGCAACCUGCAUGCAGCUAAUAUUUAAUCCUCCAUGUUCCAGAUGGUAAAACGUCAUCUGUGGCCAAUGAAACUGUAUUACUGACCAUGUGAAUUCCCUGGUGGGCUGCUUCUCCCAUUUUUGCUCCACAGUGGUUUCACUCAACAAGGACCACCAGUAUCCUUCUCACUGCUCUGAGUCCAUGCUGAUCCUUACCAGCCUUCCACUGCAUGUGCAUGUGACCAGACGUCCCCUCUGCCCCCCACCCUGCUUCUGACUGAGGCCAUGUGCAGUGCAGAAGGGGCUGGAGCUCAGAGCCAUACCUGGGGAAAGUCCUGCUUACCGCUGCUGUCUGACCUCUGGCAAGUCACCACUAAGAUCCAUGAGCCUUAGUUUCCUCAUCUGUAAAAUGGGACUGUUCUAAGGACUGAGUAUUGAACUGAGUGCCGACUUUAAUUUAAUCAAGUCAUUGAUUAUUUCAUGUACUCAGCCCACAAUAAAGCACUGAACAGCUCCUGUUCCCUAUAUUCUAAGAUAUUGGAUGUGUCUGCUUUUGCUUUCUGCUUCAAUUCUGUCUUUUGUAUCUUCUUCAAAACCAUUUCAGUGACCCAUUCCUGCUGGCUUUGGGGUCCCGCCAUCCUUAACUUUCUCUGUCCUCCUCCCUGGGCUACCAGGUGCUGUGUGAUAAUAUAUGGCCUCGCCCAGCUGGUUAUUUUCCUAGUCUUGGCUGUUUAUUUUCUUGCUAGACCGUCAGCACACACGGAGCCAUAAAUGAUGUUUUCUGAGGAUCUAUCUCCCCCAGUGCCACCACAUUAUCUGUGUAGAUGGCACAUCAACCUACCUACCUACUUUGAACUUUCCCCUUUGGUGAAGCAAUACCUGGUUCUCAAUACUUAAACACCCUAAAUCAUUAGUAACUCUUUUUAUACAUGGCAUAUGCUUAUCUUUCUUUUCUGAGCCUUCCUCUUUUCGUUUUCACUGGGUCACGUCACCAUGUCAAUGAUCUACCAAAUAAGCGAUCUCUGGUCAUUUUCCACUUGUCCUUUCUUGAUCAUAAUUUGGAUGACUGCCAGAGCUUGUGUGGCCCCCUCCCCACCGGCUCUCCAGCCCCCCUGGCCUGUGGAA
Long non-coding RNA from Canis lupus familiaris (dog), 2900 nucleotides. RefSeq lists it as uncharacterized. NCBI's taxonomy places the organism in Eukaryota, Metazoa, Chordata, Mammalia, Carnivora, Canidae. The transcript is spliced from 4 exons. The record is from RefSeq and is a predicted model, not a curated record.